Molecule: long non-coding RNA, 928 nt
Organism: Lathyrus oleraceus (garden pea)
Lineage: Eukaryota; Viridiplantae; Streptophyta; Magnoliopsida; Fabales; Fabaceae
Exons: 2
Source: RefSeq, a predicted model, not a curated record
CGCAAAAAUCACAACCAGCUCCUCUGUGAACCAACAAUUCAGGAUUAGACCACCAAGAUAUCUUUUCUCCACUGUCCUUAGGCAAUGAACCUCGGAGAAAACAAUAUGAAACAAUAUCAAAGGAACACACAUUUGCAUAUCACUGGAUCGCUGGAAAUGUGUGGUGUGGUUGAACUAUUGGGCUUGAAUUGGUUCGUAGGAUCACAAGCUUUGGGUCAUUCAUUAUGCAAUGGUCCUUCCAGAAACAGGUCGGGUAUUUUGAAAAAACCCGUGUUAGGUAAACACUUUGCUAAAACGCAGACUCUAAAGUGAAAAGAGAUUAAAAAACCCUAAAUUUGUCUCACUCUUGUUUGCGCGCUUGGUUUGCCACCUUUCUCUCCCUUCUCCUUUUUUUCACAUGGCCCUUACUUCUUUUGUUUAUGGCUUUAUCGUGUACUACGUCUACUUUUUUGUUUUAUUCUGCCUUUCCCUGUCUGAACUAUGUAGUGUAACCUGCAAUGGCUUCGAGUGGGUCUUAGGCCUUAUGAAUUAUGUCUUGAGUUACUUAUUAAGUACUUCUGGUAAGGUAUGAACAUAGUUUUGAGUUAUUUAAGAACUCAUGGGUUGAUGGUUAUGAAUUUUUAAUUAACUCAGUUUAAUGUCGUGAUUUAGAGUUUAUUUUAGUCAUUUAUGAUAGUUUUUAUGCUUGUGUAUUUAAGUACCAUUUUCUCUUUCGCUAGGAUCUUACUAGACAUGUUAAGAUCCUCACAUAUUCGCCUAUUUACUAUUUAUCUCUAAUUGUUACAGCUACUAAAUUCUCUAUUAUUAUUAUCCCCCUUUGCUUAAGGAGAUAAUUAAGUUGUAAUCUCUCUAUUUAAACUAGUUCGUAUUUAGGAAUAAAUCAUCAGAGUAUUUAUCUAUUUUCUCUAAUAUUAUAUGGUAUUAGCAC